UUGGGGCAGGUGGUUACUCUCAUUUAGAAGUCUGCAAGCAGCAUUUGGUUUCCUGUCUUGUGUGCAGAGGAUAGACUGUGAGUUUAGCUUUGAUUUGUUUUAAAAGGGCCAACCGAAAAGACAGUGAUAAGUCCCGGAGCGCAAAGAUGAUGACAGCUUGGCUGAGUCCUCUCAUUCAAAGAAGACUGUUAAAAAGGUGGUGGUAGUGGAACAAAACGGCUCUUUUCAAGUAAAGAUUCCCAAAAAUUUUAUUUGUGAACACUGCUUUGGAGCCUUUAGGAGCAGUUACACCUGAAGCGGCACAUCCUUAUUCAUACUGGUAAGUCUUUUGCUCAUAGUCAGUAGUUUGUAGUUUUUAGUGUGUGUGUGCAGCUCUUGUUGGGUUUGUUUUUAGAGGCCGAUGUGCUCACUUCAGCAGCACACAUACUAAAAAAUGUUUCAGAGGCUGAGCGUGAGAAAUAGAGGAAGAAGAUAAGUGAAUUAGCUGGAGAGAUUUCUAGUGUCACUGAGACCAGCAGCUUGAGGACCUUUCCCAAUUAGGUGUCUGCACAUUACUAAGAAUUAAACGUUUCUGGGAAAAUAGCUGGAAUGAAGUCCCUGCCUUGUGUACCUCCUAAUACUAACUAUCUCUCUCCACCUGGGCCAGGUGAGAAGCCAUUUGAGUGUGAUAUAGUGAUAUGCGCUUCAUCCAGAAGUACCACCUGGAGCGUCACAAGCGUGUGCACAGUGGCGAAAAGCCCUACCAGUGCGAACGUUGUCAUCAGUGUUUUUCUCGGACAGAUCGAUUACUCAGACACAAACGGAUGUGCCAAGGGUGCCAGUCCAAGACUUUCCGACGGGCAGUUUUCUCUAUAGGCGCAAGGGGCCCUGGGUGGUGGGAGUGAUCAGAAGAAUUUACCGAAGAGCGCACCCUCUCUGGUGUGAUGGUGCCACCACCACCCCCGUCUGUACCUGUCCCCCUCCUGGAGGAGUGGACCCAGGAAACCAGAAGAGUGCAUCAGGGGACAGCGGCCUCAGAGCCUCAGCUCUGUAAAUAAUCUGAGACUAUGAGUAUCUCUGGGACGUUCCUCCAGCAUUCCUGGGUAGGGAAGCUAGUCCCUGGACCCUUGGCUGAGGUUAUAGGUGGGGACUGAAGGUACAGGACCAAGACUGGUGUGGCUCCCACAGCCUUGGACUCCAGCUGGCAGCUGACAUGGAAAGGAUUGGGGAGAGGGAUUUGUUUGUUCUGUUCUGUUCUUGUUUUUGUUUUUCCAAAAGCAAUUUUAGCAGCUACACUGUGGAUACAGGUAAUAUGGAGGCAUAGAGCCCUGGUCAAAGCAGGGACUAUGGCUGGUCCAGCCCUCCCCAAAAUUGAGUUUUUGGUUGCAGUUGAUCCUCAGUGUUCACAGCCCUGCACCUCACCUUCUGUUU
RNAcentral lists this long non-coding RNA (1410 nucleotides) under Canis lupus familiaris (dog). RNAcentral describes it as "lncRNA (ENSCAFG00030013137.1)". The record is from RNAcentral. Lineage: Eukaryota; Metazoa; Chordata; Mammalia; Carnivora; Canidae.